CGACCCGUGAAGGCGAUCCUGACGGUUCUCCGCAGUUCGGUCACCUUCGACUGGCGCACAGCGCCAAAUGUUUCGUCUUGUCCUCCCUGACGUCCCUAUGGUAUGGGUUUGGCCGAUUGUUGAUCGUGGAAAAAGAAUCGAAGCCCGAAAGCUUCAGAUUUUCCGGCGAAGCUUCUGCAGUUUCUGGUGAUCGUCGGAGUUACAUGAGUUUCUGGGUUAUUCUGGCCAUUUUGGAAUUCUCCCCGAGUUCAGAUCGAUUUUGAUUCCACCUUCUAGAGUUCCAGGCUCCAGCCACCUUGCUCCUUGAACUCUUGAAGGCUUCAAAUCUUCAAACCCUGAAUCUCAUAUUCUCAGAUCAAGGACAAGCUGGCGGAGUUGGGCGAGGAGGUAUGUAGAACAGUAGAAGAGAUAAGGAUGCUCAUAUUCAUCUCGGAAAUAUAGACAUGAAGAAGUUUGAUAUAAAAGCACCCGCAAAUAUUGGUGAUAUGUUGGCUCUCUCUCUUCUUCUCCAUGCACUGAGAAUGUCAUCUGGAACAUCCUUGAAAAUUGUUUGAUGGGUUUAUGAAUGUGCUUUGUUUUUGAGUUUAUUUGGGAGAUGAAAAUGGUUU
Long non-coding RNA from Rosa chinensis, 608 nucleotides. RefSeq lists it as uncharacterized. The record is from RefSeq and is a predicted model, not a curated record. Lineage: Eukaryota; Viridiplantae; Streptophyta; Magnoliopsida; Rosales; Rosaceae. The transcript has 3 exons.